Molecule: long non-coding RNA, 783 nt
Filed under: Amborella trichopoda
Lineage: Eukaryota; Viridiplantae; Streptophyta; Magnoliopsida; Amborellales; Amborellaceae
Description: long non-coding RNA (ATRI_LNC001839)
Source: RNAcentral
UUCAAAAAAAAAUACCAUCAAUUGAUACUAUUUGAAGGUGCGCUUUAUUUUGAUUAUUCAGGGCCUCAGCCUUAUACAAAUCAGGGUACAAAAUAUAUACCACAACAAUAAAUAAAAUAAAAAUAUUUAUUUAAAUACAAAGAAUAAGAGAAAUUUAUUUAGAUACAAAAAUAAGAAAAAGGAAAGAAGAGGACAAGAAGAAAAGAAAAGAAUUCAUCCACUAUGCACAAAAACUAGAUGAAACAAAAUCAUGUACACCCAAGUUUGUUGAGGGAGCUGAGGUCCUCGAAACUCCAGUCACGCCUGCAAGCGCCAGACCGCAAGAGCUGCGGUUCGACCUUGACAGGCGAGGCCUCUACCUCUCCAGUGCUACCCGUCGUCGAGGUCUGGCAAUGGUAGGUUGGCCCCAAACUCUUUGAUAUCUCAUAGGGCCCCAACACCUUCUCUAUGCGUUGAUAGUGCAUGUCCAUGUCGGACUCGCGCCUCCUUGGAGAACCACACGUCAGGCACGAGAGGCUCAUCUCAAUGGGACCUUGAACCUUGAAAAUUUGUCCAAUUUUUUGUGAUCAAAAUUUCAUUUUUGUGGGGAUGGGGAUUCAAAUAAGCGAGUAGAAAUGUGGAGCAGGGAUGAGGAAUGGAUUAGAGGGUUCUUGAAUGUUAUAUAUAUGUGGUAGUGAGAAAUUGGUUCGUAAAAAAUUGAAAAUUUGAGCUGGACAAAAAGUUGUUGGAUAAACUUAGAGGAGGGAGGAUGAUCCAUGGAUGCGCGAGAGCAUAGCAGAGCAG